AGAAUGUGGGAGGGUUGACGUUGGCAAUUCAAGACUGUCUUUCCUACUGUCUUCAGUUAGUCUUAAUAGGAUGUUAAAACCAGUUUCACAUCCAAAAUCAUACUUUCCAGAAAAGGAAACUAAGAUCCAAAGAUGUUAUUGACCUGCUCAAGACCCCACAUAUAUGUAGAAGCAAUGUCAGGACUAGAAGUUGGUUGCUUGAUUUUAUGUCACUGCUUUCUCUGACAUAUAAUAAAAUUUAUGUUUUAUCCUUUA
Homo sapiens (human) is the source of this 255-nucleotide long non-coding RNA. RefSeq lists it as uncharacterized. Lineage: Eukaryota; Metazoa; Chordata; Mammalia; Primates; Hominidae. The transcript is spliced from 2 exons. The record is from RefSeq and is a predicted model, not a curated record.